Molecule: transfer RNA, 73 nt
Filed under: Streptococcus sp.
Lineage: Bacteria; Bacillati; Bacillota; Bacilli; Lactobacillales; Streptococcaceae
Description: tRNA-Thr
Rfam family: tRNA
About the family: Transfer RNA (tRNA) molecules are approximately 80 nucleotides in length. Their secondary structure includes four short double-helical elements and three loops (D, anti-codon, and T loops).
Source: RNAcentral
GCAGGAGUAGCUCAGUUGGUAGAGCACCUGAUUUGUAACCAGGCGGUCGCAGGUUCGAUCCCUGUUUCCUGCA